CAGCCGCCGCGGGAAUACGGAGGGUGCAAGCGUUAUUCGGAAUUACUGGGCGUAAAGCGCACGCAGGCGGUUGCCCAAGUCAGAUGUGAAAGCCCCGGGCUUAACCUGGGAACUGCAUUUGAAACUGGGCGACUAGAGUAUGAAAGAGGAAAGCGGAAUUUCCAGUGUAGCAGUGAAAUGCGUAGAUAUUGGAAGGAACACCGAUGGCGAAGGCAGCUUUCUGGGUCGAUACUGACGCUCAUGUGCGGAAGCGUGGGGGGCAAACAGGAUUAGAUACCCCUGUAGUCCCUGUCUCUUAUAC
RNAcentral lists this ribosomal RNA (301 nucleotides) under uncultured bacterium. RNAcentral describes it as "partial 16S ribosomal RNA". It matches the Rfam family "Bacterial small subunit ribosomal RNA", at positions 509 to 807 of the family's 1533-position model. The record is from RNAcentral.